AGCCCUCAGCGUACAUGCCAGCUAAUUACAGAUGCAGGAGCAAACCCCUGGCCCAUACAUCAGUUGGGUGUGGUGACUCACACCUGCAAUCCCAGCACUUCAGGAGGCUGAAGAGAGCAGAUCACUUGCGGCCAGGAGUUCGAGACCAGUCUGGGCAACAUAAUUUUGAGUCUUGCUCUAUGGCCCAGACUGGAGUGCAGUGGCGUGAUCUCAGCUCACUUCAACCUCCACCUCCCGGGUUCGAGAGAGAUUCUCCUGCCUCAUCCUCCCGAGUAGCUGGGAUCACCGGCGCCCACAACCACACCCGGCUAAUUUUUGUACUUUUAGUGGAGACAGGGUUUCACCAUGUUGGCUAGGCUGGUCACAAACUCCCGACCUCAGGUUAUCCAUCUGCCUUGGCCUCCCAAAGUGCUGGGAUUACAGGCGUGAGCCCCCGCACCUGGCCAAGAUCAGCUAGAUUUUGGAAGCAUUGCCUUCUACAGAAUCCACAGUAGUCCGAAGCUCUUCUACGGUUUUUGUCAAACUUUGAUUUUCCAUCUCUAGCUUCAAUAAUCUACUUGAUGUCAACUCAUUCACCUCAUGGCCCAGGGAUUUCUGGGGUGCUAUAAUAUUGAAAAAUACACCAUUGUAUUUACUCUU
Homo sapiens (human) is the source of this 639-nucleotide long non-coding RNA. The record is from Ensembl. Lineage: Eukaryota; Metazoa; Chordata; Mammalia; Primates; Hominidae.